UCGUAACAAGGUCUCCGUUGGUGAACCAGCGGAGGGAUCAUUACCGAGUUUACAACUCCCAAACCCAAUGUGAACCAUACCAAACUGUUGCCUCGGCGGGGUCACGCCCCGGGUGCGUCGCAGCCCCGGAACCAGGCGCCCGCCGGAGGGACCAACCAAACUCUUUCUGUAGUCCCCUCGCGGACGUUAUUUCUUACAGCUCUGAGCAAAAAUUCAAAAUGAAUCAAAACUUUCAACAACGGAUCUCUUGGUUCUGGCAUCGAUGAAGAACGCAGCGAAAUGCGAUAAGUAAUGUGAAUUGCAGAAUUCAGUGAAUCAUCGAAUCUUUGAACGCACAUUGCGCCCGCCAGUAUUCUGGCGGGCAUGCCUGUCCGAGCGUCAUUUCAACCCUCGAACCCCUCCGGGGGUCCGGCGUUGGGGAUCGGGAACCCCUAAGACGGGAUCCCGGCCCCGAAAUACAGUGGCGGUCUCGCCGCAGCCUCUCAUGCGCAGUAGUUUGCACAACUCGCACCGGGAGCGCGGCGCGUCCACGUCCGUAAAACACCCAACUUCUGAAAUGUUGACCUCGGAUCAGGUAGGAAUACCCGCUGAACCUAAGCAUAUC
This 604-nucleotide unclassified non-coding RNA is filed under the name Trichoderma paraviridescens. RNAcentral describes it as "sequence contains 18S rRNA gene, ITS1, 5.8S rRNA gene, ITS2, 28S rRNA gene". The stretch from base 228 to 381 matches the Rfam family "5.8S ribosomal RNA". Lineage: Eukaryota; Fungi; Ascomycota; Sordariomycetes; Hypocreales; Hypocreaceae. The record is from RNAcentral.